CAGUAGCCGCGGGAAUACGAACCGUGCAAACGUUACUCGGAAUCACUGGGCUUAAAGCGCACGUAGGCGGCGACAUAAGUUAGAGGUGAAAUCCCAUCGGCUCAACCGUGGAACUGCCUCUAAUACUGUGUUGCUUGAGGGAGAACGGGGCAUUCGGAACUUCCGGUGGAGCGGUGAAAUGUGUUGAUAUCGGAAGGAACGCCGGUGGCGAAAGCGGAAUGCUGGGUCUCUUCUGACGCUGAGGUGCGAAAGCUAGGGUAGCGAACGGGAUUAGAUACCCCCGUAGUCCCUGUCUCUUAUA
Molecule: ribosomal RNA, 301 nt
Filed under: uncultured bacterium
Lineage: Bacteria
Description: partial 16S ribosomal RNA
Rfam family: Bacterial small subunit ribosomal RNA
Source: RNAcentral